This 253-nucleotide ribosomal RNA is filed under the name uncultured bacterium. RNAcentral's name for it is "partial 16S ribosomal RNA". It matches the Rfam family "Bacterial small subunit ribosomal RNA", at positions 524 to 776 of the family's 1533-position model. The record is from RNAcentral.
UACGUAGGGGGCAAGCGUUGUCCGGAAUCAUUGGGCGUAAAGAGCUCGUAGGCGGUUUGUCGCGUCUGCUGUGAAAUCCCGAGGCUCAACCUCGGGCCUGCAGUGGGUACGGGCAGGCUGGAGUGCGGUAGGGGAGAAUGGAAUUCCUGGUGUAGCGGUGGAAUGCGCAGAUAUCAGGAGGAACACCGGUGGCGAAGGCGGGUCUCUGGGCCGUAACUGACGCUGAGGAGCGAAAGCGUGGGGAGCGAACAGG